This 253-nucleotide ribosomal RNA is filed under the name uncultured bacterium. RNAcentral's name for it is "partial 16S ribosomal RNA". It matches the Rfam family "Bacterial small subunit ribosomal RNA", at positions 524 to 776 of the family's 1533-position model. The record is from RNAcentral.
UACGUAGGGGGCUAGCGUUGUCCGGAAUCAUUGGGCGUAAAGAGCGUGUAGGCGGCUCGGUAAGUCCGCUGUGAAAGUCCAGGGCUCAACCCUGGAAUGCCAGUGGAAACUGUCGAGCUAGAGUCCGGAAGAGGCGAGUGGAAUUCCUGGUGUAGCGGUGAAAUGCGCAGAUAUCGGGAGGAACACCAAUGGCGAAGGCAGCACUCUGGGACGUGACUGACGCUGAGACGCGAAAGCGUGGGGAGCAAACAGG